Molecule: long non-coding RNA, 524 nt
Filed under: Mus pahari (shrew mouse)
Lineage: Eukaryota; Metazoa; Chordata; Mammalia; Rodentia; Muridae
Description: lncRNA (MGP_PahariEiJ_G0006386.1)
Source: RNAcentral
UGAUCUGAAUCUGACCAAUACCUUUGGGAUCAAGGAGGUAGAAACUCCUCGUUCUCUUAUCUAGAGGUGGAGACUAAGGUCCCGUGAGGUGUGAUGAUUUUCCUAUAUAUUUCAUGGGAUUGGGGCCCAGGCUGUUGACCUGUAUUAGGCAGGCAUCCGCAGCUUAUCCUGAGAUUCAGCAUCAUUAUUUUCCACGUAUGAACAUGUGCAAAUGGACGUUAUACCACUCUGCCACAUCCAACCUCUUGGCCACACCUUUAAACAGCCAGAGAUCUCCUUGCUCAGCAUAGGAAAUGCUGAGGGGAUCACUCAUCUUCUAAGGUCAUGCUUAAAUGAAGCUCUGGCUUUGAGAACACACAGCGAGGAUGAAGAGGGCCAAGAAUUCUGUCCAGUACACAUCGGCUGCUACAAGCCUUUGGGGACAACCUCUUGUUUCAAAUAUGAGCACGUGUACGGAGAGGCUUUUCCUCGAAUUUAACCUUUGAAUGAAAAAUGUCAAUAUUUUAAGAAAUGUCCCCACGUUA